AACGGGUGAGUAAUACAUCGGAACAUGCCCAGUCGUGGGGGAUAACACUUCGAAAGAAGUGCUAAUACCGCAUACGUCCUGAGGGAGAAAGCGGGGGGUCGCAAGACCUCGCGCGAUUGGAGUGGCCGAUGUCAGAUUAGCUAGUUGGUGGGGUAAAGGCCUACCAAGGCAACGAUCUGUAGCUGGUCUGAGAGGAUGAUCAGCCACACUGGGACUGAGACACGGCCCAGACUCCUACGGGAGGCAGCAGUGGGGAAUUUUGGACAAUGGGGGCAACCCUGAUCCAGCCAUUCCGCGUGAGUGAAGAAGGCCUUCGGGUUGUAAAGCUCUUUCGGCAGGAACGAAACGGCNAGCUCUAACAUAGCUCGCUAAUGACGGUACCUGAAGAAGAAGCACCGGCUAACUACGUGCCAGCAGCCGCGGUAAUACGUAGGGUGCGAGCGUUAAUCGGAAUUACUGGGCGUAAAGCGUGCGCAGGCGGUUGUGUAAGACAGGUGUGAAAUCCCCGGGCUUAACCUGGGAACUGCGCUUGUGACUGCNCGACUAGAGUGUGGCAGAGGGGGGUGGAAUUCCACGUGUAGCA
Molecule: ribosomal RNA, 583 nt
Filed under: Rhodocyclaceae bacterium ST3-5
Lineage: Bacteria; Pseudomonadati; Pseudomonadota; Betaproteobacteria; Rhodocyclales; Rhodocyclaceae
Description: bacterial SSU rRNA
Rfam family: Bacterial small subunit ribosomal RNA
Source: RNAcentral